Long non-coding RNA from Homo sapiens (human), 18944 nucleotides. RefSeq lists it as uncharacterized. NCBI's taxonomy places the organism in Eukaryota, Metazoa, Chordata, Mammalia, Primates, Hominidae. The transcript is spliced from 3 exons. The record is from RefSeq and is a predicted model, not a curated record.
GCUAACUUCACCUAAAAAAAAAAAAGUUAUGUGAGGAUGCUUGUAAAGAGUUUCAAAGGAAGUAAAAUGGAAUAAACCUACACUGUGGUCAAUCCCUUAGGGUAGAAGCUAAACUGACAAAACUGGAGACAACCCAAAAAUCCACUAGUAGGCACUGGCUGAAUAAAGUGUGGCUCAUUUACAUAAUGGAAGAAUACACAGCUCUACCAUGAAAUAAGGAAAAACUACGUAAACUACUAUCAAAUCUUCAGGAUACAAAAUAAUCUGAAAAAACAAGCAAAGAAAAUGUAUACUGUUUGGUGUUAUUUAUCUACAUAAAUGGUUGGGUUCUGAUCUCCUAAGACUGGCGUCACUACAAGAAGAGACACCGGAGAGCUCUCUUUCUCUCCAUCUCUUUUCCUCUCUCUUGCAAGCACUCCCGCCAGCUGCCCACAAUAUGAGGACAGUGAGAAGACUGUCACCUGCAAGCCAUGAAGCGAGUCCUCACCAGAAAUGGAGCCUGUCAGACCUUGGUCUGAGACUUCUAGCCUCUGGAACUUUCUGAAAAUAAACUUCUGUUGUUUAAACCAUCCACUGUAUGGUAUUUUCCCACGGCAGGUUGAGGUAAUACAGAGCUUUACUGUCAUCCUCAGAAGCAUCAACUGGAUUUGUAUACAUUAUGAUGAAAAAGACCUGAAAAUUUCACACAGAUUAAAUGCUUUCACUUAUUUCUCAGUUUUAUACUAGUGCUUUCUUUAGACUCUUCAAAUUGCAUGUCCUUCCUUAUGUUCCCUGGGCAUUGACUUAUUAGUUCCUGGGUAAAAUUUAACAAAGGCUAUGCCACAGGUCUAGGAUUAGUCAUUUUCACAAUCUUGGAUUUCUCAAUAACUAUGACUACAUUCCCCUUAAAUAUGAGUUCCUUAGAAAAUCUGUUUUUAUUAUUUGGACAUAGUGCCUGGUGAUAAUAGACAGCCUAUGCUUUUUUGUCUUUCCCCUGAACUAGAAUUCAAAUGAAGGAUAUGCUAAACACAGCUGUUGCUGUGUAUAAUGACAUUCAGUAUGUGGAUGCUGCAUCCAGAUUCCAUUUUAAGGCAGCCAUCUGUCCUUUAGCAAGCAAAAUAACAGAAGAUUUAUACCUUAAUAAAAUCACACACAUAAGUGCACCCCACACUCCUUCAUGUGCCCUCCAUGUAAUUUCACAUUUGUUAGUGAAUUUUCUGUAGUAUUUUUCUAGCUUUAAGACUAUUUGAGGUGAAGUUCUGGACCUGCUAAGCCUGAGCACAAGGGUUUUAGCAUAAUAUAUUUGGACUCAUGAUUUUCAGUAAAUCUUCAUAGAUUGACAUGAAUGUCAUGAAAUUUAAAAGAUUAAGAAACAUUCCUUCUCUAUUUUUCCAGGCCUGUACAGACUAAUAUUUGUUUAGCACUGCAGAGCUUAUAAAACCUUCUCCCUUCUUAUUUAAUUUAUAUAUCCAGACCUACCUGCGGAGUUGCUUAAGGUCAGAAAAUCCACUAGCAAAGAAGCCAGGGCUCAAAAUAAUAGGUUAUUUCUCCAAAUUCCUUGGUUUUCUCAUCAUCCUGCACAGUCACCUAUUAAGCUAUGUACUGAAUUAUUCUAUAUUAUUUUACUUAAUUAUUGAUAAUAAUACUUUAUUGAACCUUUAUUUUGUGCCAUGCAUUUUUACUUUAUAUUUUGAAUAAGUAAUUCUGCUUAAUCCUUACAAUAACCUGAUGAUGUAGACACCGUUUUUAAAAAUAUACUCUCUAAUAUAAGAAGUUAUAGAAACAAUUGUCUACAUGCAGAAUAUAUGCCCACAUUCUUUCUCAAAUACAAAUGAACAGAAUCACUUUAUUUUUCUUUUUGUAGUAAAGAAAAUUUAAUAAUUUUUUAAAGUUAGUGUAACAAAUUUACUAUGUUUUAAAAAGUAAAGUUUUAAAACUGUAUAAACUCAGAACACUAAUUUGUUUGCUAAUUAAUUUGCAUUUCUAAAUGAUACUGUCCUCUUCUUUUAACUUCCUGUUAACUCAAGUUAAUAUUUGACUUUUCUAUUUGACUUUCAUAAUUCUGAAGCAUAAAAGUAUAAAAAUAUUGGGUAGGAACUAUUUUUCAUCCUCCAUAUAAUAAAACAUUUCAACUAGUUGACCUUUCACUCAGUAAGUAAUAUUGAGUGUCUAUCAUGUGCUGGACACUGUUAUGAGCACCAGAACUAAAGCAGAGAAAACACAGACCAAAAAACCUCCCCUCAUACAGUGUCUUCUCUAGUGGAGUCAUCGAUUGUUUUCAUGCAUUACUAUUCUCUUGUCAUUGUAUGAAAAGCUGGCAUAUCUUUCUGUUGGUGAUCUGGAAGGUGAUUGGGUCAUUUAUAAACAUGUGUAUUCUAGAGCCCUGCUACUCAAAUUGCAACCUACAGACCACCAGCACUGACAUCAUUUUGUUAGAGAUGCCAAACCUCAGGGCCCAUAACAGAUCUACUGAAUACAAAUCUACAUUUAAACUAGAUCCCAAGGUAAUUUUUGUUCACACUGAAAUUUAAGAAGUGCUACUGUAUAGGUAUUCGAUAAAUGUUUUCACCUGAGAUAUGUUUAUCUCUAGGUGGUCCUCAAACCACCUUUGUGAUAUACAAAUGCAUCAAAAUGUGUCUUCAAUUUGACCAUAACACAUUCAGUCUCUCUUACAGUUGCAAAGAGCCAACAACUAAUGAUUUUUUUAUUGAAUGAAUAAAAAAUGAUCAAACAAAUUUCACUUAUACUAUAUAUUUAAAAAGUAACUUCAAUUAAGUUAGCAAUUUUGAAUUAUGCAAUUUAUUACAAUGGGGAACAAUAUACUCUGUUCACAUAAAAUCCUUUUUUUAUCUAUACACUGUAGAACCUGAUAUAUAAUGAAUGCUAAAGCUGUCAAAAGUUAAGUAUUCCCCUAAACUUAAAAAUAUAGACAUCUAUGUUACGUUCCUGUCUACCUGUAUUUCUUGACAUUGUUAAAAAAAAAAGGAUAAGCUUUUUUUAAACUAAUAUACCACUGCUUCUACAGAAAUUGACGUAUAACCCACAGAAAUAUAUUCGCUGUUUGCCUUACCUUUUGCACUCUACAUACCAAGCAAACAAAAUUUGCACACACUUGCACUAGCAGCUUUGCAUCUAUCUAUUUUUAGGACAGACAGCUACAUCUUUCUCUCUGCACUGCAGGGAAACUGAACAUUUGUGGGAAAGUGUAGUGCAUUAAUCCUGUUUAAUAUUCCAGGACUCACACAGACAAUUAAUUGUGUACUGAAAAGGCAGACUAAUAAAUUUUUCUUCUUCAAAACACAGUAAAUAAGUUUAAUUGUAUUUUUCUCACAAACUGUUGUAAGAUCAAAUAGAUAAAUCAAAUAAAUUGUGAAAAUGACCAAUGUUUGAAUGUCAUAUUCUUUCCUUAUUAUAUUUUUUCUUCCAUGUGUAAUUUGCUUAUUGUAAUCAAUUUUUGAAAAGUUGAAAAAAAAGUGCAACAAAAUGUAUAAAUUAUAUGUGUUCUAUGAUUCUGCACCAUGAAAAUAUAUGUAACUUUUUAUCUGUGGCAUGAUUAUGAAACCUUUUGAGUGUAAAUCUGUUUUUUUAACUUUUUAUUUUGUAAUAAAUAAAGACCUAGAGAAGAUAGCAAAGAGGGGAAAAGACAGUCCCAUAUAUCCAUCACCUGGUCCCAUCUUAGCUUUCCCUAAUACUAGCAUCUUCAUAACCAUGGGACAAUAAUCACACUUAAGAUACUGGCAUUGAUAUACUGCUACUAAUUAAGCUACAGACAUUGUUCAGAUUUUCUCAGUUUUUCUACUUAUGUGUUUCCUAUUUUUAUGUUUAGGAUCAAAUCUAAGCUAUCAUAUUAUGUAUAGUUGGCAAGUAUUCAUUGUCUUCUCUAAUUUGUGACAUUUUCUCCAUCUUUGUUUUUCAUGGCCUGGCUUUUUUUUAAAGAAUACUUGCAGUUGUGUAAUUAAAUGUCCUUCAAUUUAUUUUUGGCUGCUGUUUUCUCAUAUUAGAUGUAGGGUAUGCAUUUUGGGGAAGCAUAGCAUAGAAAUGAUAUGCCCUUCUCCUUCCCUUCUUCUUCUUUGUGUCAGGGAAUACAUGAUAAUCACUGUCUUACUACUGGUAAUGUUAACCUUGAUAUCUUGGUAAAAGCAGCAUCCAUUAGGUUCCUUCUCUCCACUGUAGAGUUGCUUUUUUUAAACCUGCUGUACUCUAUUAGAAGUGAGAAAGUAAGUACACAGCCCAUACCCAAAGACAGGGAAAUCAAGCUCACCUCUUGAAGGAACCAUAGAAGUCACCAUAUUAGCAAAUAUUUUAGAGAAGAAGCUUUAAGGACAUGCAAAUAUCCUAUUUCUUCUUAAAGUUUCUUAAGUUUCUUCCACUAAUUCUAGCAGUCGUCUCUUGCAUGCGGCAUUGUUUACUGUGAUGCUUUUGGGGUGAUUUUUGUACUCCUUCACUCCUACAUGUAUUCGAAUUCUUCUGGAAGUUAAAGUUGCUCCUUUCUCCUGACUUAUUUAUUGACUUAUUUUCUUAUAUCGCUAUAGAUUCAAGAGAAUUUUAUUCUUUGAGUUAUAAUCCAAGACUGUCAUUAUGUACUUUAUGGCUCAAAUUGUUCCUGAGUUAAUCUGUGGGAACUUUUUCUAGUUGACUUCUGUGUGGUGGUCCUCCUGCUCUUCUGCCUCCUUCUCCUCCUCCUCUUCCACUUCCUCCUCCUCCUCCUCCAUUGGCUUCUGGGUGGUGAUCCUCCUGCUCCUCCUCCUUUCUCCUCCCUCUUUUCCCUCCCCUUUCUUCCUCCUCCCGUUCUCCUUCUCCUUCCCCUUCUCUCUCCUCUUUCUCCUUUUUCUCUCCUCUUGUCAAUUAGUAUAUUUUAAAGAUUCUACCUUACCUCCUGGCUUGGCAACUUGUUUUGGGUUUGUCUUGUCUUUCCCUGCUACAACCCUAGCACCAAUAGUUUCUCCAAGAAACCCUGGUUCAAUUAAUUAGAGAAUUAUAUUUAGAAACUAUAAUAUGGGUUCUAGGUGUUUUCUUUGCUGGUGGGGAGCCUGCUUCUAGGUUCUCCGUGUUUUGGACUAAGAAAUGUAUAUAUGUAUACUAAGUCAUAUAUAUACACAUAUCUGUGCCUAUUUCUGUAUCUAUGCAUAUAUUAUAAUAAACGUGUUCAUACUGAUAUCUCCAAGUUCAACCCAGCACUACAUCUAUCAUUCCCCUUUAUUUACAACCUCUUUCUCCUACAGUAAAAAAAUGUGGCUCACAUUAUCUAUAUUAUAUUUAAACAUUUGUUCAACAAUAAUAUGUUAAGUAUAGUGGUUCAGAAUUGCUGAUCUAUAACCUUUAGGCUAUUUUUUUUCACAAAGGCACAGUAUUUGGAUACAAUCAUACUUGCCUUUUGUCUUACGGUAUCUAGUAAAAAAAAACCACCAUUUUAUGAGUUACUUGAGGUAGCUUUUUUAUUCUCCUCUUGCUUCACUGUGAUUAUAUCACACAUUAGCAAUAUAGUCAGAUAUAUUGGCCAAAGUCUGUAUUUCGUAUUAGGUUUCUCCGGUCAAUUGGGUUUCUCAAAACUUUGUAUACAGUAAAAUUCACUCUUUUGGGUGGAUAGUUCCGUAUGUUUGACAAACGCAUUGAUAUAUGUGUCUACCACCACAAUAUCAUACGGAAUAACUUUAUUAUCUCCAAAAGGCUCUUGUGUUGCUUCUUUGUAGUCAACUCGUCUUCCUGCAUUCAAUUCUUAGCAAUCACUGACUUGUUUUCUGUCUCUAUAGUUUGCCUUUUCAGAAUGUCAUAUAAUUGAAAUCAUACAAUUGGGGCUUGUUCCUUUCAUGGUAAAAUGCAUUGAAAAUGCAUCCAUGUUGUGUAAAUCCAUGUUAAUUAUUUUUUAUAGCUGAGUAACAUUUCACUGCAUGGAUGUGUCUACGUGUGUUAAUCAUUCAUCUUUUGAAAGUCAUUUGGGUUGUUCCCAGUUUCAGUUAUGAAUAAAACUCCUAUAAAUUAUUGCAUACAGACUUUUGGGUGAACAUAUUUACUAGGUUAAUGUAUUAGUCCAUUUUCACACUGCUGAUAAAAACAUACCCAAGACUGGGUAAUUUAUAAAGAAAAAGAGGUUUAAUGGACUCACAGUUGCACUUGGCUGGGGAGGCCUCACAAUCAUGACAGAAGGCAAAAGACAUGUCUUACAUGGCAGCAGACAAGAGAAAAUGAGAGCAAAGUGAAUGGGGAACCUGUUAUAAAACCAUCAGAUCUCAUGAGACUUAUUUACUACCAGAACAGUAUGGGGGAAACCACCCCCUCUAUUCAAUUAUCUCCCACCAGGUCCCUCCCACAACAUGUUGGAAUUAUGGGAGCUACAAUUCAAGAUGAGAUUUGGGUGGGGACACAGCCAAACCACAUCAGUUAAAUAACUUGUGGUGAAAUUACUAAGUCUAUGGUUAAGUGUAUAACUUUAUAACAACUAUGAAAACCACCAGUCUUUAUUCCAACGUGGCGAUACCAUUUCUCCAUCCCUUGUGGCAACAUAUGAGAGUUCCACUUCUCAGCACCUUGAAAAGCUCUUAUUUUCAGGUUGGUUUUUUUUCUUUUGGUUUUAGACAUUAUAAUAUAUGAACAGUAAUAUUUCAAUAUGGUUUUAAUUUCAAUUUCCUUGAAGAUUAAUGACGUGGAGAAUCUUUAUGUUUAUUUGCCAUCCAUAUAUGUUGUUUUGUGAAGAGUCUGUUCAGAUUCUUGCAAGUAAUGUCAUAGGAAUUGUUUGUUUUAUAAUGGUAAGUUCAACAAUUUUUUAUAUUCUUUUAGCCUAUUCUAGAGAGAAUUCCUUCAUCAGGCAUAAGGGCUGCAAAUAUUUCAUCCCAGGUUUUGGCUUGUCUUUUCAUUUUCAUAACAGUAUCUUUCACAGAGAAAAAGUUUUUAAUUUUUAUACAAUCUGGCUUAUCAUUUUUAAGGAUUCUUCUUUUACUUUCAUAUCUAAAAUGUCUUUGCUGAACUCAAGGACAUAAAGAUUCCCCCUAUGUUAUCUUCUAAAAUGUUUGUAGGUUUACAUUUAGACCUAUGUUUCAUUUGAAAUUAAUAUUGUACAAGAUGUGACAUAAGGUUUUUAAGGUUUUUGUUGUUCUUCACUGAAUUACCUUUAGAACUUUAUCAAAAACAAGUACAUUUUUAUCUGUGUAAGUCUAUUUCUGGACUCUAUGUUCUUUCUAAUAAUGAAUGUGUCUAUCCUUGUGCUGAUAUGUACCAAACUGUCUUGAUUACUGUAGCUUUAUAGGAAGUCUUAAGAUCAGAGAUGACAAACCUCCAAUUUUAUUUUUCUUUUUUAAUACUGUUUUGGCUCUGCCUUAAUAUAAACAUAUUAUAACUAACAUAAAUGUUAGUGUCAUGUUGUUAUAUUCACAAUUUUAUUACUAGGAUGUUAAUUGGAAUAGAAUUAAAUCCAUAAGUAAAAUUAAGGAGAAUUGACAUCACCACAUUUUCAAUCCUCUAACUAAUGAACAAUUUACAUCUCUUAAUUUGUUUGCCUGUUUAAUUUUGUUAACUAGUGUUUCAUAGUUAACACAGAUACUGUAUUUUUUGUUAAACUGAUAACUUUUCUAUUUUGGUGUUAUACUAAAAAGGUAUUCUUUAUUUGAAAAUUUGAUUAUUCAUUGCUAAUAUAUGAGAAUAUAAUAGACAUUUAUAUUGACAUUGUAACAUAGAAAAGUGUAUUUUAUUUUUUCUUGCCUUAUUGCAUUUUCUAGGACUUCCAGUAAAAUGUUUAUAGGAAUGGUAAGAAAGGAAAACAUUGCUUUGUUCUCAAACUUGGGGUGGGGGACAUUCAUUAUGUUAACAUUAAGUAUUAUGCUAGCUAUAGGCUUUUUGAAAAUUUUAUUAGCUUAAUAUCAUUUUCUUUUCUUGAUUAAUAGUUUCUAUUAUGAAUGGAUAUCAAAUUUUGUCAAAUAUUUUCUGCACCUAUUAAGAUUAGCAUUCGGUUUACCUUCAUUCAUCUAUUAACAUGAUGAAUACAAUUACUAAUUGCCAAAUAUUGAAGCAAACUUGUAUUCCUAGAUGAACCCAGUUGUUCAUUAUUUAUUUUUAAUUUUUUUAUUUUUAUUUUUAUUUUUAUUUUUUGAGACGGAGUCUCACUCUAUCCCCCAGGCUGGAGUGCAAUGGCGGGAUCUCUGCUCACUGCAACCUCCACCUCCCAGGCUCAAGCAAUUCUUCCGCCUCAGCCUCCCAAGUAGCUGGGAUUACAGGGACCCGCCAUCAUGCCCGGCUAAUUUUUGUAUUUUUCGUAGAGACAGGGUCUCACAUGUUGGCCAGGCUGGUCUUGGAAUCCUGACCUCAGGCGAUCCACCCACCUCAGCUUCUCAAAUUUCUAGGAUUACAGGCGUGAGCCUUCACACCUGGCCCACAUUUUUUGACUUGGUCUAAUAAAAUUUCAUUGAAGGUUUUGUCUAUAGUCAUUACAGAUAUUGGUAUGUAGUUUUCUCAUUUUGAAAUGUCUUUUUCUGGUUUUGGUAAGAUGGUAAUGGUGACCUGGUAAAAGGAGUGAGGGAGCAUUUUCUCCUCGCCUGUUAUAUUAGAAGAGAUUAUGUAGAAUUAGUAUUGUUUCUUCAUUACAUGUUUGGUAGAACUCACCAAUAUAACCACCUACGUUUUCUCUUUUGGAAGGAUUUUAAUGAAUAAUUCAAUGUAUUUAAAGCACAUAUAUAAAGCUAUUCAGGCUAUUUAUUUAUCCUUGAGUAUGUUUUGAUAGUUGUGCCUUUCAAGGAAUUUUCUUUUCACCUAAGUUGUCAAAUGUCUGGGCAUAGUGUUGUUCUUAGUAUUCCCUUUGUAAUCAGCAGAGGUGAUACUUGUUUUAUUCACGACAUUGUAUCCUCUCUUUUUUCUUGGCUAAACUGGCAGGCUUAUCAAUUUUAUUGAUCUUUUCAAAAAAACAAUGUUUGUUUUCAUUGAUUUUCUCUAUUAUUUUUCUGUGUUCAAUUUCUUAGGUUUAUGUGUACUACGUUCAUUUUCUAUUUGCUUUAGGGUUGAAUGGUGCUUUUUUUCUUUAGUUUUCUAAAAAAGAGUAUUAUAUGUAUUGAUUUUCAAGUGUUUCUUCUUUUCUAAUAUAUGCAUUUAAUGAUAUAAAUUUCCCUCUAAACACUGCUUUUACUGCAUCUCACAUAUUUUGCUACAUUUUCAUUUAGUUCAAAAUAUUUUUAACAACCUUGACACUUCUUCUUAACAUGAGUUAAGUGUGUUGUUCAAGUACAAAAUAUUUUGCAGUGUUCUACCCAUCUUUCUGUUACUGAUUUAUAAUUUUAUUCAAUUAUGAUUAGAGAACAUAGUUUGCAGAUUUUUUUGUAUUUUAAAAUUUUUAGUUUGUUUUAGAGGUUAGAAUGUUAUCUGUCCUGUGCAUGUUCCCUGUGAGCUUCAAAUUAAUGUGAUUUUUUUGGUGUUUGAUGGGUGAAGUGUUUUGUAAAUAUCAAUUAUGAAAUGUUGGUUAAUAGUGUUUUGAGGUCAUCAUACCCUAAUUUUCAGCCUACUUCUUUAUUAAAUACUGAGAUAGACAUAUUGCAUUUUCUACCUAUAAUUUUGAAUUUCUCUAUUUCAUCUUUAAGUUCCAUUCUUGUCUCAUAUUUUUAAAACUCUUUAAAAAUUUAAGAUUGUUAUGUCUCGUUGGAGAAUUGACCUUUUUAUCAUAAAGUAAUCUUCCUUGUUACCUCUGAUAAUGUUUAUUGUUUUGAUGUUUGUUUGAUAUUAACAUAGACACUCUAAUUUUCUUCUUCUCCUUCUUCUUUUUUUUUUUUGAGACAGGGCCUGCAGUAGUGUGAUCAUGGAUCACUGCAGCCCCUACUUCCCAGGCUCAAGCUAUCCUCCCAUCUCAGCUUCCUAAAUAGCUGGAACUACAAACAUGUGCCACCACAUCUAGCUAUUUUUUAAAAAAAUUUUUGUAGAGAUUGGGUCUCACUAUGUUGCCCAGGUUGGUCUUGAACUCCUGGGCCCAAGUGAUCCUCCUGUCUCAGCAUCCUAAAGUGCUGAGAUUACAGGCAUAAGCCACUACACCCGGCUAUAAUUCUAUUUUUUAUUAUUUUGUGCAUUAUGUACCUUUUCUAAUCCAUUUGCUUUUCAUAUUUUUACGCAUUUAUACUUAAUAUGGUUUUCCUGCUGAGAGCAUAUACUUGCGUCUCACAUUUUUAUCCCAUUUGACAAUGUUUUAAUUUAAACUGGUGUGUUUAGAACAUUUGUAUUUAAAGUAAAUUUGAUAUAGUUGGAUUAAAAUAUACUAAUCUGGUAGGUAAUUUUUAUUUGUUCCUUUUGUUCAUUGUUAGUUUUUUCUUCUUUUCUCAUUUUUACAGAUUAACUGAGCAUUAAGAAAUUCUAGCUUGCUUUGCUCUGUUGGCUUACAGUACUUUAAAUCAGAUUUAGUAAAUUUAUUAGGGUUUCUAAUAUGCAUUUUAAAUUAAUCUGAUUCUAUGUUUCUAUAACAUUGCACUAUUUUAUGUAUGGGUUAAAGAACUUACACUAAAUUUUUUCAAUCACCCUCCCCUAUCUUUGUGAUGUCAUUGUCAAAUAUUUAAAUUUUACUUGUGCUAUGAACAUAGAGUACAUCAUUUCUGUUUUUUUCUCAGUUUUUGUUUGUCUAGGACAAUAUUUAUUUCUCCCCUUUUUUGAAAAACACAUUUUUGCUGGACACAGAAGUUAGGUCUGAGCGUGUGUGUGUGUGUGUGCGUGUGUGUUCAUUUAGCACGUUUAAAAGGACACUUCAUUGUCUUCUUGGUUGUGUGGAACGUUUGAGAAGUCUGCUGUUAUUUUUAACACUGCUUUUAUGUAGGAAAUAUGUCUUUUUCUGAAUGCCUAAGAGAUGUUCUAUUUGUCUUUGACCUUUGGCAGUUUCAACAUGGCACAACUAGGCGAGGUUUUUGUUUGUGUUUUUGCUGUUGCUUUAUUUGUUUUUAUUCUGCUUGGUGUCCUGAGCUUCUUGAAUCUGUCGUUUGGUGUCUGGCACUGAUUUUGCAAAAUUCUCAAAGUGUAAUUGUUUUCAGCCCUUUCUGUCUUUCUUCUCUUUCUGAGUGUCAACUAUGUGUAUGUUAGUAUAUAUAAUAUUGUCCUACAACUUUUCCUCUUUGCUUUUUUUAUUUUUCCUUCUCUCUUUUCACUCUUUGUGUUUUAUUUUCAGCAAUUUCUAUUAGGGUUAUCCUCAGGUUUACUGACUUUUCUCUUGAUUGUGUUGAAUCUACUAAUGAGUGCUUCAAAACCAUUCUUCAUCCCUGUUACUGUGCUUUGACUUCUAGAAUCUUCAUUUGCUUCUUUCUUAUAGUCAAUUGAUUGCUGAAAGUAUCUUUCUGGUCUUUCAUACUUUAUUCCACUUUUAUUAAAGCUUUUAAUAUGUUAAUCACAGUUACAUUACAUUCUCCUUCUGAUUGUUCCAACAUUUUUGUCAUAUAUUAAUCCUGUAAUUAUUUAUUUCACUCAUUAGAGUGUUAUUUGUUAUUUAUCUUUUCAUAUGCCUCUAAAUUUUUAGUUGACAGUCAGAUACCUUGUAUGGGAAUUUAGAGACUGAGCAUUUGAUGUUUAAAGCAUACUUCUUCUGCUAAACCUUUAUUAUACUUGCUUGCAUUAACGUUUCAGGAAUUGGGCUGAGUUUAAAGUUUGUUGUUGUUAUGUGUAUUCUCAGUAGAACACAGGCUAAAGGUAAUUUACUUAAUCAUAUAAUUUCAUUUCAAUUCCUGUUGUAUAUAAUAUGAUUUAUUUCAAAUUAUUAAGAUUUAUGCAAACUGCUUUCUUUUCUUUUGUGAAGGAUGUUAUCUUUGUAAGUGUACAAACUGUGUUUCUGAGUGAGUACCUUUGGGGGUAUUCACAAUGUAGAUUUUGUACUUAUCCUGAGAUAUCUGAAACAAUCAUACUAACUUACUGUAUUCAGAUAAAAUAGGUCCACCAAAAAUUUAACUGUUAUACUUUAUUUAUGACAUUACACAAUUUUCUAGUAGGCAAUUUGAAUGCUUAUGAUUCAUGUCCUAAAGGAAAAUAUUUAAAUGUAAGAAAAUAUUUUAAAAUAAUUUAAGUCAAUUAGUCUAUAAUGCACAAAGCAAAAUCUUCUUUAUAUACCUAAAUUAGCCAAUAUUUUAUUAAACUGUCAUAGAAUAAUAGCCUAUACCAUUAUGUCACUUGUAAAACUCUAAUUUUGCCUAAUAAAUAAAAUGUCUUUUAGAAAAUGCAUUUGACUAUAUCCUUGAAUAUAAAAAUUAUCUUGCUAAGUUUAUUAUUCUUUCAAAAAAUUACCUUUAUUUAAAACUAUUGUUAAAUGUUUCCUAGGAGUGCUGUUAAAAAGUGAUGGGAAUUAAAAACAAAUAAUCCUCAGGGGUAGAAUAUUCAAAGAAGCAAGACAUUAGCAUACUUCACAUUUUAAUUGUUUUUUUGUUAAGUAUUAGUGAUUAGUGCCACUGAAUCUGAAUCUAGGUCAAAGCCUAAAAGGUUUCAGAUGUAAAAGACAAAAGGGAAAAAUAACUGAACUAAUGUUUAUUUAGAUAUCCCAAACAUUUAAUUUCUAAAUAUAAUGAAUGUCUAUUAAAAUGUAUUUAAAAUGGAGCAAUGAAAAAUGUAAAGAGAAUUAAAACAAUUUUACAUUCUCCUUCAUCACCAGUAACUUCCACCAAUAACACUAUGCCCUGUAUUUUGGACUGCCUUUAAAAAAAUGUUUAACAUUAUUAUGUUAUGUGUUUACAUGGACAAUCAACAGUUUAGGCUGAUUGACAGGUAUGGCAAUGCAAAACAAAACACUACAUGAUUCACACAAUGCUUGUUUGCUAUGGGUUCUACUUAUUUUUCAGGCAAUAGCUCUAGGCUAAAUUUUGGCCAAGUUGAAGUUUGUUUUCAAUUCCUUCAUUUUCCUAGAUACAGUUAAAUAAUAAAAUUGUCUUUAUAAUCGUAAUUAAUAAUAAUCACAUAUAUUUUAAGCCCUGGAAUUAAAAAACAAUUAGCCCCAAAUAAUAAACUUUCAUUGUUGAAACUGCAUAACAGUUUAAGACCAGAAAUAUUAGAGUCCUUUUCAUUUUACCACAUAGGAUGGAUCUACCUAUAAUUAAUAUCAUUGUAAAUACAGUAAUGCUGAAGUACUAUUUUACACACGUGAAGACACUUCAAGAUAUCUUGGAAUACAAUUGUUUUUAGUUGAGACAAAAAAAAUUCAUGUUUCAAUACCAUGUAGACAAAAACAGUUUACAUAAACACAAACAUUUACAGCCACAAUAAUGACCAAAUAAAUCAAACUAAAUAUUUUGUCCAAAGCUUUUGGUUUGGAGGAUAUUUCUGAUAAAAAUUCCAACUAAAAAUUGCUGUCAAUAGACUCUUUUAAAAAGAUUGUGAAAACUGGGUAUAUUUGAGUUUUAUUCAAUUUUAUUAAAACACAAUACUAUUAGCUUUUUAAGGUAAGAAUGCUAGUUGAAGUAUAAUUGCAAAAAGCCCAGAAUGAAUUUAUCUGAUAAGCAGUCUCCAUAUAUAAACAGUUUGAGUAAUAAAAAACGAAAACAAUAGCUUAGAAGUAUUGAAGUCUUAGUAUAGUAUACUAGAGAGAAGUCCACUGGUUACAUUUUGGGGUUUUAAAGAAAUAGUAUCACAAUGAUAAUUUUUCUUUAGAAAGCAGUAUUUGUCAAGCACAAGUGAAUAAUAAUUAUAAUUAACAUUUGUCAUGUCAUAUUUUUCAGAAUUAAAUAUAAGAUUGAGCUGACCUUUGAACAAAAACAAACACAUAAACAAAACCAUUUAGAGCCUCACAGAUGAAUAAUCCACAGAAAAGAAUGAUGCUGAUAUUCCUGAUCAGAAUGCCACUAUAAAUCCAAAGGAUGCAUAUCCUGAACUGAAUACAGAGAUCACGGCAACUGUCAACCAAAUAAACUAAAUGGCAGUGGUAUGCAAGACGGGGAAUGGGUUGUGUUGUGGGUGAUGGGGAUAUAGGAAUGAACAAGACAAACAGUAAACUUGUCUUUAAUAAGCUUAUAUUCUAAUGGCAGGAAACUAAAUUAUCAAAGAAACUAUUCAAUCAUUUUAGGUACAGUGUACCAUGACAGGCACAAAUAGGAUAAUGUGUUAGAGAGAGACUCAACGAAUGAGAAGCAGCUUGAACUAGGGAAUGAACAAGAUUCUUCUAGGAAUUGAUGAGUUUGAUCUAAAUGACAAGAAGAAAACACUCAUGAAACUGUUGCAGGACUUUCCUUAGUUCGGCUAAAGACAGGUUUCUUCUCCAUUCCACAGCCAUGAAAAUUUAGGCUCGCAGACGGUUUAAAGGGUGAGCAAAGCAGGGUUUUAUUGGGCGAAAAGGGGAAAAAAGAGUGGGGGAAACAGGGAUCCUCAGCAAGGCCAGAGUCCCCUGCUAGAGAAUUUCCCACUUGCUGUUGGAAUCCCUGGUUUCCAGGGAAGGAAGAGGAGGGGCCAGGCAGGCCAUGCUGCAAAGGGCGUGAACUUCCCGAGGCUCCACCUCAGUGGGUAGGAUGGCUAGAGUUUCUCCGAGGACCUGGAGUUUCUCUGAGGACCCCCUCCCACCUGGCUGUCUCACUUCCCCCUCUAAAGAAGUACAUCUAACUGCCAUUAGAUUAAGGAUAAGGAUGAAGACUGAUCUUAACUGCUUCCUGCUGACAGGGGGCACUGUUUUGGGGAAAUGGGUCAGAGUUUUCCUAGAGGCCUAUUUAAGGGCUCCCAGCAGGAGAGGUCAUUGUCAGAGCCUCUGGUUGCAUGACUGCUUGGAGUCUGAUGGCCUGAAGGCAAGAACAGACAAACUGGGUUAUUAGAAAACGUAUCAAAACGAAACAAGGGGAGGGCUAACGACAGCUCUAAAAUUCUGAGGUAUUUUACCAGUUUACACAGGGAGAGAGAGGCCAAAAGCACAACUGGUAAAACAAAACAAAACAAACAAACAAACAAACAAAAACUUUACUCUUUUGCUGUUGCCUUGGGCUUUUGGGUUUCCGUCCCCUGACCUCAAUCCUACGCCAACCAGUGUUAAGUUUUGGGCAAUUAACUCUUUCCAGUUUGGCAAAUGCAUCUGAGGGGAGUGUCUCAUAGUACGGAAACAUGGAAACAUAAUUACCUAUUAGUGAAAGGAGAACUGAGGAGGAGAAAGGAAAAAGAAGGCGUUUUAUUCAAAGGAGUCCUAGCGGUUCAGGAUGCAUUUGAAAGGGGUACAGACUGAAGAUGAAUGGCUACCCAUCUAGAAAGAGGGGAGCAGCAUCCCUGGUUCCCCUCUCUUCCUAGCAGAUACACAGGGUACGUGAGGGAGAGAGAGAAGAGUGUCCUCUUUCCAUCUUCCAUCCUUGCAUCCCCGAGUUCCAGUGACCUUGGCAGGUCUCAUCAUGAGGGCCAAAGUGGCUUGCACUCAUGAAGCAGGGAGGUCCUAGAGAAUAGGAAGUAUCUGCUCUCAUCUAUGUCUCUUUCCCACCUACUGUCAGUAGCCUUGGAGUUCCCUAGACUUCAUUUAUGCCAUAGAUAUUAACGUGGCCUUUAUCCAUGAAACAGGAAGCUUGGGGUUGGCUUAAUUGGCAGGAAUCAGCCAUGCUCACCUGCACGGUGCCUUGUAACCUCUGUUGUCAUCUGCCUCUGGAUCUUUUAGAUCCAGUUUUCUUUCCUAGGGCUUUGCCCUGAAGCUCAGAAUUGAGUUUGGGACAAAAAUGUGUCUUGGGGCAGUUGCAUGGACCCCUUAUCAUAAGCCGAAUGCUAAGCUGAAACUGUGGAACUGAGUCCUCCUCCAACAAGGGAGACAAAGGGAUACCUUGUGACAUAACCCAGAUAACUGGUAGCUAUAGUUAUGCUUGCUAGGAUUUGGGGGCAUGGUGCUUUGCUUUGGUUAGUUCCCUUGGUCUUACUUUCCCAAAAAGGAAACCUCUGGGUGAUCGGCACCCUAUUUAUUCCAUCACCUGGAAGGAUUUGCAGGAUAAUUGCUCAGAACUAGAAUAUUGAUCCUCAUUUUCACAUUUCCUAUCCUCUUGUUCAUUCUGAGCUGCAGCCAGAGAUUGCUGGUUGGUUCACAGGAACAAGCAGGGUUAGUCUAAAAAUGUAGGUAAAAACUGAAAAACAACUGGUGAGUUUAGAAUUGAAUGAUAAUGUAUGAUCAAUUUUGAUACAUGAUUUCUCUCUUUCUAGUCCUCAUGUUUGUUAAUAAAAGACAUCAUCAUAGGACUGAGUGGUUUGCAUUUAGUUUUAUACUUGGCCUUUUUAUCUGCAUAAAGUGCAGCAAGAAUAAUCAUUUCUACAUAGGCCUUUUAUAUUGGCUUUCAUGGAAUUCUUUUCCACAAGGAAUCUCAGAUAAAACCUUUUAAAGCCAAGCAUGGGUUUGUAUCCUUAAAUACUUGUGCGUUGAGUGAUCCUCUCCUCUUAAGGUCACAAGAUAAACUUGGAGCUUCUAGACCUGUUAGAAAGUGACAUUCUUUACUGACCACAGGUCAGGAACUCUGUACAGGGAUUGUGCAGAUGAAGGUAUGAGGCCAGUCUCCCAUGGGGCUUUUAUUGGCUCUGUAGGUAGAGUUUGACUCCUUAAAGGGAAGCAUACCCUUCCAGUCAAAGCCUUGGUAACCAUUUUUUCCAAUUGUGUCCUGUUGCAAAAGAAAAAUAAAUUCUUAUUGCACUGAUGCAAACAGCUAUAUUGCCAUAAGUUAAGAGUACUCACAGAUAGGUUCUAAAUUCUGGAGGAACCAGGCAGAGAGAAACAAACAUGCUCCAAAUUUUGAUCACAGGAGUAUAUAACUUAUGUAAUUAUUAAAGGCCAUAAACCAUUCAAAAUAAGUUCACUUGACUCUGAAAAAACAAAACGAGGAUCAGAAAUAUUCCAAGCAAUGGUUCAAAAGGUUGCUUCAGCUUUCUAAGUUCAGUUCAUUUAGUUAACUCUUGUUUUACUGGAUAUUCAUGAACAUUGCAGCUCUUCAUGAAUCCUAUACAUUUUCCUUUAUGUCAAUGUUAAAAUUUCUAAAGUUAUCGGAAACCUGAUUGUCUCAAGUGCAAUCAGAAAUUAUGUUUGAGAGCACCUCUCAGUGUCCUAUAGCUCAUUAUAAACCAUCUUUUGAAAAGGAUUACGACAUGACAACAAUUGUCUGUGAAUAGCAAAAUAUCCACAGUAGUUACAGUUAGAAACAUGAUUGACAAAGAAGUUUGGUUAUCUCAGUGGUUUACAAUAACUUAAACAUAAAAACCUUAAUUAUAAUUCAUAGCACAUACUCAGACAUUAGAAUUUUAGAAAUCCCAUACAAUUUUGUCAUGUAUAUUAGCAUUAUUCACCAAGAUAUAACCUAAAGAAGACUGAGCAUCAUUUUGGCAAUUCCAUGUACUUAAACAUGUUAAAUAAUCCUAUUUAACCUCCCUUUUCUGAACACUUCAUGGGUCCUCUGAAGCAUUCAAAAAGCCAGGUGCCAGAGAAGACAAUUUUGAAACUGAAGUUUUAUUUUGGGAAGGCUGUUAAAUACUUAAGGUUUAAAACACUUGAUAUUAUAAAAUAGAAUUCCAGAUUAUCGUAAGUUAUUUUGCCAAAAUCAUGACUCAGAAAUUUUAAAGAAACAAAGACCUUUUAUAACCCUUUACAAAUUUUGCCAAAGAGCAGAUUAGAACCGUAGGAAAACCUUGUUAUGCUUUUAUUUCAAUGCUCAAUUUACAGAAAAACCAUAUAAUACCCUUUUUAAAAUUUAGUCAAUAUGUUCACACAGAGAGUCUCUUCUGCAAGAUUAUUUUCCACAAUUCUUCUACCACUUCUUUGAACUUUCAGCUUUUUCCUAAAUUAACUCAAAACAAUCCUUUGACCCUAGGCAAAGAUUUUUAUUUCCAUCCCUUCUUAUAACCUUUUACUAAAAAACACAUUUUACUGUUCUUACACACCUUGCAUGUAAAUCUAUUUUCAGUAGUUUCAAUCACAUGUUAUAAUGGUAACCCUUAACAAUUGUUAACUUUAAGGUAAAUCCUGGUAAGUUGCUUUAAUUGUGCUAACUGGAGUCAACGUUUGCCUUCUUAGUUAAGGGUGCAUUUAGUUUCAUACUUCUGCAGGCCUUACCAAUUGUGAAGCAGGCAAGACAGAGUUCUCAAAACCCAUGAAGCAGUUUGUAACCUCAAAACGCUUAGCAAACUUCCAUCUGACCUGCAUUUUCCCAGUAGUCUUUAGGGCUGUUUUUAUUUCUGAAAGAUUAAAGUCAUGUGAACCGAAAGGUACCACAGCUUUUAACUUCCCUUAAAAAAAUACUUGAUCCAAACACUUCUUUCUUUAGGCCAAAUUAUUAGAGCUCUUUUUACAAACAUCACGCAUAGUACUUACACAGCCAGCCAGAAGAAAACCCAGUCGCUGGGUGGGGCCCUAUAAGAGACAGGGCUAGGAAAACAUGCAGAUAUCUAAUCUGAGAAGGCUCAUUCCCUCAAGAGGGAUUACCAAACAAGAGGGAUUGCCAAGCAGUUACUGGCCAUGCCCCCAGGAUGCAAAGCAAGAUGGAGGCUGCAACCAAACCAUACAGACACGCAAAGCACACCAGAUUGGCCACAGCCCAAGACUAGCCCCACAAAUCCUUUUUCACAACCAAAACUUUACAAAGUGUACAAACAGUGAUAGUUGGAUAGUUGUGGGGGGAGCCUGGUUUAGUAAAAACAUCUUCUAAAAGGGGAAAAAAUACCUUUAAAGGUUAACUGCUGUUGGGUAGAAAAGGGAAAAGGGGAAGAAAAAAAAAGUUUAAAAAUGCCUGGGGAAGAACCUCUUAUUCUUAUGCAACUGGUUCCUCCACCAGAGGUAAAGCUUAAUUACUGUCCGAUAAAGCUAAACCCUUUGGCCAGGAAAGGGGAAGGCUGCGGUGGCUUGUGGUUGGGAACCAGCCAGCCAGCUGUGUGGGACCCUUGGGCCAUGCGUCCCAGCCCCAGCAGGGCAAGGAACUGCUGCUUAGCAAUGGGUCCCAAAAAAGGAAGGAAAAGGCCAUGAAAAGGCCCGGGAGCCACGGGGGUGGGGGCAUGGUUCCCCCACCCUCAGAAGUCCGAGGAUGUAAAGACUUAGAAACAACAGUGACAGAUUUUGAGCCCUCAUU